CAGUCGCCACGGGAAUACAGAGGGUGCGAGCGUUAAUCGGAUUUACUGGGCGUAAAGCGUGCGUAGGCGGCUAAUUGAGUCGGAUGUGAAAUCCCCGAGCUUAACUUGGGAAUUGCAUUCGAUACUGGUUAGCUAGAGUGUGGGAGAGGAUGGUAGAAUUCCAGGUGUAGCGGUGAAAUGCGUAGAGAUCUGGAGGAAUACCGAUGGCGAAGGCAGCCAUCUGGCCUAACACUGACGCUGAGGUACGAAAGCAUGGGGAGCAAACAGGAUUAGAUACCCGCGUAGUCCCUGUCUCUUUACA
This 301-nucleotide ribosomal RNA is filed under the name uncultured bacterium. Its description in RNAcentral is "partial 16S ribosomal RNA". It matches the Rfam family "Bacterial small subunit ribosomal RNA", at positions 509 to 808 of the family's 1533-position model. The record is from RNAcentral.